CAUAUAUCUCAUAUAACUUACAAUAUAUAUAUAUUAUGUUUUUAGAUAUAACUUGAACAGGAUAUCUAUGUGUAAUACGCCAAUUCUGGACAAUGCAUAAGCAUGAGUUAACGGGAAUUAAAUGUAGAGAAAACAGAAUGUCCUUGGAACUUUCUGCUCCCUAUUGUGGAAUUCUGAACCCUGAUGUUUACUCUGGACUUCUCAUCAUGUGGAUUUUAUCAUGAUUGAGUAGGCUGAAGAUUCACUAGAUUAGAAUGUCGUUCAGUUAAUUUGUUGUGAUCUACUGCAUCUUUCUGGUCAUUCCACUGAUUAUUAAUUGAUCAGUAUGCUAGGGAUAGUUAUACCAGCAUGAUUAUCACAUGUAUUAAAGUAUUGAUUUUUGUCUCUUUUUUUCCUCUUUAGCUCCAUGAAACCCUCUGUGAUUACCUUCCCUUCUCCCUUCUCCCUUCUCCGCAGUCCUAACAGAAACUAAGGUAAUAGGUUGCUGAGGGAGUGUUAUCUGCAGCUUGCUAACUUGUUUUUAUUGGUUUUACUGAUCUAGAAAAGCCUCAAUAAUAAUUUUGUCAGACCAAAAAUGACACAAGUCUCUGAAUCAUGAAGGAAUGCAAUUGAUGCUUCACUGUAGGUGUAGAUUUCUGAACUUAUCAUGUUCAAUUUGUUUAUGGGAUAAAAAUCACGUGUGGUUCCUUUCUUUUUACUUUUGGUCGAAUUAAACUGUUCGCUUUAAAUUGAGUUUGAUCAACCCUUCUAUUUUCUAAUAUUGGUGAUCUGAGCACCUUUAUCCAAUUAUUAUGAAUGCCACAUGUUAUAAUUUGCUUGUAUGGAUGAUUCGAAUAACCUUUUGUUGGAAGCUAAUUGGUUAAUUUGAUCCAUUAUAAAGUAGAGAGUUGAUUUGGCCAAAUGUGAAAAGUAGAAAGGACCAUACAUGUUUUUUUUUUUUUUUUUUUAAGCCAAUAAGCCUGAUAUUUUUUUUUGCAUAUUGCAGCUCUAGUUAUAUUGGCUUUUGACAUAUGCAUUAUGCUUUGAGGGAUGAAGGGGUGAUCUUUUGUUCCCUUUUUUCUGUGUUUUUUCGGUUUUCAUGCUCUUGAAGUUAAUGCUUGCUUUCUAUCCCCAGAUCCUAGCGUAUUUGCAAAGAGAAGGCCUUGUAAUACUACCUGUCUCUGCCAACAUUUCCCCAAACAAACCUUGUCUAGCUUUCUGGUUAUAAUAGGUGCCUGUUAGAACUCUACUUACCGAUCCUAAUGAACAUGGAGGUUGAGUUCAUGGAUGGGGGAAGACAUUUAUUGGGGAAGAACAGGUUUGUGAAUGGGUUGGUUCAAAGUGGUUGUUGCUUACCUUGCAACUUUAAUUAAAGAAAUAAAACAUACAUUUUCAUAAAGAGAGCAUGCUGUGUCCUUACAACUUACUGGUUGGUUGCGUACUCUGUUGUCAUGACUCUCAAGUAAUGAUGCAAGGUCAUCACAUAGAAGAUUUGUCUAUGACAUUUGAUUGUCACUGACAAAAAAUGUUAUGGCAGUAAAUUCAGUUGAUUGUGAAACUUGUGACUAGGUUUAUUGAACUGGACAAUGUUAAUCUACUAUUGUCUCAAAGCUAUUGAACAUGCAGGUGAUUUCUCAUUUAAUACAUUAGAUGUUUUCAUUCCAGCUAACUGUGGCCUCAAAACAACUUGGUAAUAAAUGUUAACUGGUCAUUUCUGUGGAAUACGGCAAUACUUAAAUGUGCUUUGACCUGGGUUACUUUCAUUGUAAUCAUAUUGGUAUAAAUUGGUGGUGUUUAGUGCUAUUUUGGAGUUGAA
Molecule: long non-coding RNA, 1795 nt
Organism: Populus euphratica (Euphrates poplar)
Lineage: Eukaryota; Viridiplantae; Streptophyta; Magnoliopsida; Malpighiales; Salicaceae
Exons: 2
Source: RefSeq, a predicted model, not a curated record